Molecule: unclassified non-coding RNA, 159 nt
Filed under: uncultured Aspergillaceae
Lineage: Eukaryota; Fungi; Ascomycota; Eurotiomycetes; Eurotiales; Aspergillaceae
Description: sequence contains ITS2
Source: RNAcentral
CUACCCUCAAGCCCGGCUUGUGUGUUGGGCCUCGUCCCCUAUCUAGGGGGCGGGCCCGAAAGGCAGCGGCGGCACCGCGUCCGGUCCUCGAGCGUAUGGGGCUUUGUCACCCGCUCUGUAGGCCCGGCCGGCGCCUGCCGAUCAACCCAUUUCUUUCUA